This 1528-nucleotide ribosomal RNA is filed under the name uncultured bacterium. Its description in RNAcentral is "bacterial SSU rRNA". It matches the Rfam family "Bacterial small subunit ribosomal RNA". The record is from RNAcentral.
AGAGUUUGAUUCUGGCUCAGAGUGAACGCUGGCGGCGUGCUUAUCACAUGCAAGUCGAGCGAGGUUACAGCUGUAGCAAUACAGUAUGUGCCUAGCGGCAGACGGGUGGGUAAUACGUAGGGAACCUUCCUCUUAGCGGGGGAUAGCCAGCCGAAAGGUUGGGUAAUACCGCGUACGAUCCUUUUAUGGCAUCACGAAAGGAUGAAACAUCCGCAAGGAUGACUGAGAGAGGGCCCUGCGGCCUAUCAGCUAGUUGGUGAGGUAACGGCUCACCAAGGCUACGACGGGUAACCGGCCUGAAAGGGCGACCGGUCACACUGACACUGAGACACGGGUCAGACACCUACGGGUGGCAGCAGUGAGGAAUCUUGGACAAUGGGGGCAACCCUGAUCCAGCGACGCCGCGUGGAGGACGAAGGUCUUCGGAUUGUAAACUCCUUUUGUUCGGGAAUAAGAAAUCUGUGGAAACACGGAGAGUGAAUGUACCGGAUGAAUAAGCCACGGCUAACUUCGUGCCAGCAGCCGCGGUAAUACGAAGGUGGCAAGCGUUACUCGGAAUUACUAGGCGUAAAGGGCAGGUAGGCGGUUUGGUAAGUCUGUUGUGUAAGCUCCUGGCUUAACCGGGAGAGGUCAACAGAAACUGCCAGGCUUGAGUAUAGGAGAGGGUACUGGAAUUCCCGGUGUAGCGGUGAAAUGCGCAGAGAUCGGGAGGAACACCAAUGGCGAAAGCAGGUACCUGGACUAUUACUGACGCUGAGCUGCGAAAGCUAGGGGAGCAAACAGGAUUAGAUACCCUGGUAGUCCUAGCCGUAAACGAUGCACAUUAGACGUGAGGGGUAUCGACCCCCUUCGUGUCGACGCAAACGCAUUAAAUGUGCCGCCUGGGGAGUACGGCCGCAAGGUUGAAACUCAAAGGAAUUGACGGGGGCCCGCACAAGCGGUGGAGCAUGUGGUUUAAUUCGACGCAACGCGAAGAACCUUACCUGGGCUUGAACUGUUGGUAGUAGAAGCGAUGAAAGUCGCGACGAACCGUCAAGUCGGUUGCCAAUAGAGGUGCUGCAUGGCUGUCGUCAGCUCGUGUCGUGAGAUGUUGGAUUAAGUCCCGCAACGAGCGCAACCCUUAUCCUAUGUUGCCAGGCCCGCAAGGGCGGAACUCUUAGGAAACUGCCUCGGAUAACGGGGAGGAAGGUGGGGAUGACGUCAAGUCACCAUGGCCUUUAUGUCCAGGGCUACACACGUGCUACAAUGGCCGGUACAGCGAGCAGCAAAUCCGCAAGGACGAGCAAAUCUCUAAAAGCCGGCCCCAGUUCGGAUAGUGGGCUGCAAUUCGCCCACUUGAAGGUGGAAUCGCUAGUAAUCGGGGAUCAGCUGGCCCCGGUGAAUACGUUCCCGGGCCUUGUACACACCGCCCGUCACACCACGAAAGCUGACUGCAACCGAAGUCGGUGAUCCAACCCGCAAGGGAGGUAACCGCCGAAGUUGUGAUCAGUGAUUGGGGUGAAGUCGUAACAAGGUAACCAAGGGCGAA